Molecule: ribosomal RNA, 460 nt
Filed under: uncultured bacterium
Lineage: Bacteria
Description: partial 16S ribosomal RNA
Rfam family: Bacterial small subunit ribosomal RNA
Source: RNAcentral
GAUUGAACGCUGGCGGCAUGCUUUCCCCAUGCAAGUCGAACGGCAGCGCGGGCUUCGGCCUGGCGGCGAGUGGCGAACGGGUGAGUAAUGCAUCGGAACGUGCCCAGUAGUGGGGGAUAGCCCGGCGAAAGCCGGAUUAAUACCGCAUACGACCUGAGGGUGAAAGCGGGGGACCGAAAGGCCUCGCGCUAUUGGAGCGGCCGAUGUCGGAUUAGCUAGUUGGUGGGGUAAAGGCUUACCAAGGCGACGAUCCAUAGCUGGUCUGAGAGGAUGAUCAGCCACACUGGGACUGAGACACGGCCCAGACUCCUACGGGAGGCAGCAGUGGGGAAUAUUGGACAAUGGGCGAAAGCCUGAUCCAGCAAUGCCGCGUGAGUGAUGAAGGCCUUAGGGUUGUAAAGCUCUUUUACCCGGGAUGAUAAUGACAGUACCGGGAGAAUAAGCUCCGGCUAACUCCGUG